GCGACAAAUUCGGUCGAAAAAAUGACCCACUUUGUCGUCGACCCAGUUGGGAACUACCUUCUGUUUUAUCACAGUUCAUUGUUUUGUCAGGUUAAAUAAACCCACCGGUUUAUUUCACAUUUUCACCAUAUCUGUUAUUAGAUCUAACUUGAAAAUCGUUCGUUCUUACUGUAAAAGUGUAAACCAGUUUUUGAUGUGUGUGGAUUAUUUAAUAUAGUAAUAAUGUCAGUUGAAAUAGGUAAAAUCAAUUCAAAUCUGGUAUCACAGAGGCUUAUAAGAGAUAGAAAAAUACUCCGUGCAUUGCUUUCGGCUAUUAGAAAGGAGCAAAAAAAGCUUCGCCUAAAACAAUAUCAAGAUGCAAUGUUGAAAAAACAUUUUUCAACUAUGAAAACUAAAACUACCACUGUCGUUGAAGCGAAUUCUAUAGUAUCAAUAAUUCAAACAAUAUCAGAAAUUAAAACAAAAAGUGUCAAUGAUAGUACUAGCAAAGUACUCAAGGAUAUCGACAACCCGGAAUUUGUAAAUGCGUUGGACUUGGAUUUACAGUUACAUGAAAAUCAACAAUUCGAGGAUGUGGAUGAAGAAUUUGAACUCGAAUAGGUUACAACCAAGACAAAGCCGUGUGAUAUCCCUGUGGUUUUGGAUAUUGAUAAUGUUAAAUACACAUUAAGAGGGUUCUUGGGAUUCUGUGGGAGGACGUCCAGCAUUACAAAGAUUGGACACUAUGUGGCAUAUGUCAGAAGGUGCAACGAGACAUGAGAGUUGUAUGAUGACACCAAAGAGUCAAAGAUGUCUGUUUCCCAGAACAACCCAGUUCCGUGUCAACUUCUAAUAUAUACAAUUUGAUACCAGUGGGAACUGCAUAUCCAGUCCUUACGAUCAUCUACAAGACUGCACUAAGAGCACUGAGCACUAUACAAACUAUCAUUAUUAGGUAGAACCGAAAAAAACAGUCGGGAAACAGGUUUAUGGAGGUGUGGCGUAUUGGAGAAUAAAUUGUUGGGGAUCCACUAUUCAUUGAUGGCGAACAAUUUAGUGCAACAUUGAAAGCGUCCUCUGAUUGCUUCUUUAACAUAUUUCAGUUAUAGUGACAAAAUGGAUACUUUUUAUAAAAGAAGCCUUUCUUAUAGAACAAAUUGAGAUACUGUAGUCUAAUUAUUUUUUAUAAUAAAUGAAUGUACUUUAUUAAUAUUGUUUUAAUAAAAAGAAAGUCAGAAUUGUUCAUAUAAUAA
Molecule: unclassified non-coding RNA, 1232 nt
Filed under: Nilaparvata lugens (brown planthopper)
Lineage: Eukaryota; Metazoa; Arthropoda; Insecta; Hemiptera; Delphacidae
Description: uncharacterized LOC120352348, transcript variant X2
Source: RNAcentral